CCUUGCAUCCAACACAGAUUCCAGGACCACUGAAACCAGCUGAGGCAUCCUGAAAGCCUAAGAUUGACCACACCAGAGGAACCAGACUGCCCUUCACAAGGGGAAGACUCCUGAACUUGCCUCACCCAAAGAUAUGAUGUACGCUUCAGACAAUGCUGGACUGAUGUGUUCAAUUAAACAAAUGCACCAAUAAAAUGCUGCAUGUAAAAAGAGUAAA
This 217-nucleotide long non-coding RNA is filed under the name Homo sapiens (human). Its description in RNAcentral is "non-protein coding LINC00305:5". The record is from RNAcentral. Lineage: Eukaryota; Metazoa; Chordata; Mammalia; Primates; Hominidae.